This 468-nucleotide ribosomal RNA is filed under the name uncultured bacterium. RNAcentral's name for it is "partial 16S ribosomal RNA". It matches the Rfam family "Bacterial small subunit ribosomal RNA", at positions 28 to 507 of the family's 1533-position model. The record is from RNAcentral.
GACGAACGCUGGCGGCGUGCUUAACACAUGCAAGUCGAACGGAAAGUCCCUGCUUUUGUGGGGUGCUCGAGUUGCGAACGGGUGAGUAACACGUGAGUAACCUGCCCUUGACUUUGGGAUAACUUCAUGAAACUUGGGCUAAUACCGGAUAGGAGCUCCUGCUUCAUGGUGGGGGUUGGAAAGUUUCGGCGGUUGGGGGUGGACUCGCGUCUUAUCAGCUUGUUGGGUGGGUAGUGUCUUACCAAGACUUGGACGGGUAGCCGGCCUGGGAGGGUGACCGGCCAAAUUGGGACUGAGAUAAGGCACAGACUAGUACGGGAGGCAGCAGUGGAGAAUAUUGCACAAUGGGAGGAAGCAUGAUGCAGCAACGCAGCGUGCGGGAUGACGGCCUUCGGGUUGUAAACCGCUUUCGCCUGUGACGAAGCGUGAGUGACGGUAAUGGGUAAAGAAGCACCGGCUAACUACGUG